This is a long non-coding RNA of Mustela erminea (ermine), 138 nucleotides long. RefSeq lists it as uncharacterized. The transcript has 2 exons. Lineage: Eukaryota; Metazoa; Chordata; Mammalia; Carnivora; Mustelidae. The record is from RefSeq and is a predicted model, not a curated record.
GGCUCAGUAGGUUAAGCAUCCAACUCUUGAUCUCAGCUCAGGUCUUGAUCUCAGGGUGGUAAGUUCAAACCCUGCACUGGGUUCUGCGCUGGGCACGGAGUCUACUUUAAAACAAAACAAAACAAAAAAAACACAAAC